This is a non-coding RNA of Mycena olivaceomarginata, 91 nucleotides long. Lineage: Eukaryota; Fungi; Basidiomycota; Agaricomycetes; Agaricales; Mycenaceae. The record is from the annotation of a GenBank genome assembly.
UCAGACAUGGUGUACGGUUACACCGCCUCGGUCCUUAUAAAAUCGGUGCGGAAGUCGGAGGCAGUCCGGGGUUCGACUCCCUGUGUCUGAA